UGGGGAAUAUUGCACAAUAGGCGCAAGCCUGAUGCAGCCAUGCCGCGUGUAUGAAGAAGGCCUUCGGGUUGUAAAGUACUUUCAGCGGGGAGGAAGGGAGUAAAGUUAAUACCUUUGCUCAUUAACGUUACCCGCAGAAGAAGCACCGGCUAACUCCGUGCCAGCAGCCGCGGUAAUACGGAGGGUGCAAGCGUUAAUCGGAAUUACUGGGCGUAAAGCGCACGCAGGCGGUUUGUUAAGUCAGAUGUGAAAUCCCCGGGCUCAACCUGGGAACUGCAUCUGAUACUGGCAAGCUUGAGUCUCGUAGAGGGGGGUAGAAUUCCAGGUGUAGCGGUGAAAUGCGUAGAGAUCUGGAGGAAUACCGGUGGCGAAGGCGGCCCCCUGGACAAAGACUGACGCUCAGGUGCGAAAGCGUGGGGAGCAAACAGG
RNAcentral lists this ribosomal RNA (429 nucleotides) under Chloroflexota bacterium. RNAcentral describes it as "Chloroflexi bacterium partial 16S ribosomal RNA". It matches the Rfam family "Bacterial small subunit ribosomal RNA", at positions 355 to 776 of the family's 1533-position model. The record is from RNAcentral. Lineage: Bacteria; Bacillati; Chloroflexota.